CACCUUGCGGUUGGCGGCAGUACGGGUUUUGGGCCCAAAUCCCCUUGGAGGGAGGAGGAAGGGUUUCAAACUAAUCCGGUUUGGGAUUUACCGUACUCGACGAAGCAGCAUCUGUUAAAUCCUUGGCAGCAGCCGCGCUAAUACGGAUGCUGCCAGUUUUUAUCGGAAUUACGCGCGUAAAGCGCCCGUAGCUGGUUGCGUAACCGAGAUGUGAAAGCCCCGGGUUUCACCGGGGAACGCCAUUUCGAACUGCUAAGCUAGAGUGUGGUAGAGUGUAGUGGAAUUUUCUGUGUAGCGGUGAAAUGCGUAGAUAUUGGAAGGAACACCAGUGGCGAAGGCGGCUACCUGGACCAACACUGACAUUGAGGUGCGAAAGCGUGGGGAGCAAACAGGAUUAGAUACCCUGGUAGUCCACGCCGUAAACGAUGUCAACUAGCCGUUGGGGAUCUUGAAUCCUUAGUGGCGCAGCUAACGCACUAAGUUGACCGCCUGGGGAGUACGGCCGCAAGGUUAAAACUCAAAUGAAUUGACGGGGGCCCGCACAAGCGGUGGAGCAUGUGGUUUAAUUUGACGCAACGCGAAGAACCUUACCUGGCCUUGACAUGCAGAGAACUUUCCAGAGAUGGAUUGGUGCCUUCGGGAACUCUGACACAGGUGCUGCAUGGCCGUCGUCAGCUCGUGUCCUGAGAUGUUGGGUUAAGUCCCGUAACGAGCGCAACCCCUAUCCUUGGUUGCUAGCAGGUAAUGCUGAGAACUCCAGGGAGACUGCCGGUGACAAACCGGAGGAAGGUGGGGAUGACGUCAGGUCAUCAUGGCCCUUACGGCCAGGGCUACACACGUGCUACAAUGGCGUAUACAGAGGGCUGCCAACUCGCGAGAGUGAGCCAAUCCCUUAAAGUGCGUCGUAGUCCGGAUCGCAGUCUGCAACUCGACUGCGUGAAGUCGGAAUCGCUAGUAAUCGCGAAUCAGAAUGUCGCGGUGAAUACGUUCCCGGGCCUUGUACACACCGCCCGUCACACCAUGGGAGUGGAUUGCACCAGAAUGUGGUUAGUCUAACCUUCGGGAGGACGAUCCACCCACGGGGUCAACGCGGU
RNAcentral lists this ribosomal RNA (1094 nucleotides) under Marinobacter excellens. RNAcentral's name for it is "bacterial SSU rRNA". It matches the Rfam family "Bacterial small subunit ribosomal RNA", at positions 390 to 1475 of the family's 1533-position model. The record is from RNAcentral. Lineage: Bacteria; Pseudomonadati; Pseudomonadota; Gammaproteobacteria; Pseudomonadales; Marinobacteraceae.